Long non-coding RNA from Manihot esculenta (cassava), 1208 nucleotides. RefSeq lists it as uncharacterized. NCBI's taxonomy places the organism in Eukaryota, Viridiplantae, Streptophyta, Magnoliopsida, Malpighiales, Euphorbiaceae. The record is from RefSeq and is a predicted model, not a curated record. The transcript is spliced from 2 exons.
UUUUGAUUUGCAUAUUCUCGUGGUUAUUAUGUAAGAGAACUUAUCCAUAAAUUUUAUGCUCCAUUUUUUUAUGGAAUUUAUUUCAGGUCCAAAGAUGGUUUAAGGCAGUUGAUAGAUUAACAAGUGUGUGUAAUGUGGUUCCCUUAUAAAUUUCUUCUUUUCUUUUAGUGACUAUCAAAAUUUAGAAAAACUUUUCCCUCUUGGAGAAGUCAUUUUCCCUAAAUAUCAUAUGAUUUUCUCUUUAGCUAGGAAAAUAUUUUCUAUUGACUAAUUUUCUAAAUGUUCCAACUCUCAAAAGCAAAUUGUUAUAGAGAUGUAUUUGAUGCAGAAGAACUGGAGCCUUCAUAUGAAAGAAGUUAAAUAUUAAGUUUUCAAUCACUAAUUGAGUAGGGAAUUUAGCAGCAAAUCUUAUUCUCAAGUAUAUGUGAAGCAAAGAAAUGUACGAGGCCUAAGAAAUUGAAUGCUUUUUCAUUGUCGUCAAUGCCAACAGCAUAAUAAUUGGUUGGAUUAGCUGGUGAAACAUGGCAUGAGAAGUUUGGAUGGCAAAUUUGUUUCUCAAAUGUAGGUACUGGCUUUCCAUGUGAGGCAGUGUUGCUUGCUGAUGUCUGAUUCGUUUGUUUCAUUGGAGGAUAACCAUGAGUAUAUAUUAGAAAUAUUCGUAAUGUGGCUCGACUUCAAAGCUGUAUCAUUGCAUAAUCUUAUUGCAAAAUAUGCACUGGAAAAAAAGUAUAUAGUUUAAUUGAGGAAUUUUUCGUUGCUAAUCCAUUGGCACUAAACGUAAUUAUCAAAUUUUUAAUUGUUAAUUUUGGAUGGCAAUAUAUUUACUUUUCUAUUCCAUGGAAAACAUGUUAGUUAUGUUGUUAAUUAGAACGGAUUAUACUUUAUUAUAAUUUCCAUUUCUAAUCUAGAUACAUCUCUUAGUGAUCUACCUAGCUUUGUUGUCAUCGAUCCUUCUAAUUCUAUCUUUAUUCCUUGAAAAAUUUGCAGCCAUUUUUCAAUCUUAAAUGGUAAUUGCCCUCGAUUCAUUUAUUGCCCGUAAUCUCAAUUUUUUUGGGGGGGCUUAGGAUUGGGUUUUAGCGUGCUUUAGACUUGAGAAUGAGCAAGAUGUGGAGUGACUCCAACCUGGUCUUAUUCUCGCUUGCUUUCAAUCUGUUUUAUGCUGCCUGCUUAUUGUAUCAAAAUACUCUAUAUUUUGUUUUUUUUUUUUU